UACGGGGGGAGCAAGCGUUGUUCGGAUUUAUUGGGCGUAAAGAGCGUGUAGGCGGCUAGGUAGGUCCGUUGUGAAAACUCGAGGCUCAACCUCGAGACGCCGAUGGAAACCAUCUGGCUAGAGUCCGGAAGAGGAGAGUGGAAUUCCUGGUGUAGCGGUGAAAUGCGCAGAUAUCAGGAAGAACACCCGUGGCUAAGGCGGCUCUCUAGUACGGUACUGACGCUGAGACGCGAAAGCGUGGGGAGCGAACAGG
Molecule: ribosomal RNA, 253 nt
Filed under: uncultured bacterium
Lineage: Bacteria
Description: partial 16S ribosomal RNA
Rfam family: Bacterial small subunit ribosomal RNA
Source: RNAcentral